Molecule: ribosomal RNA, 1348 nt
Filed under: metagenome
Description: bacterial SSU rRNA
Rfam family: Bacterial small subunit ribosomal RNA
Source: RNAcentral
GGGUGAGUAAUACAUCGGAACGUACCCUGAAGUGGGGGAUAACGUAGCGAAAGUUACGCUAAUACCGCAUAUUCUGUGAGCAGGAAAGAGGGGGAUCGCAAGACCUCUUGCUUUAGGAGCGGCCGAUGUCGGAUUAGCUAGUUGGUGAGGUAAAGGCUCACCAAGGCGACGAUCCGUAGCGGGUCUGAGAGGAUGAUCCGCCACACUGGGACUGAGACGCGGCCCAGACUCCUACGGGAGGCAGCAGUGGGGAAUUUUGGACAAUGGGCGCAAGCCUGAUCCAGCCAUGCCGCGUGAGUGAAGAAGGCCUUCGGGUUGUAAAGCUCUUUCGGUGGGGAAGAAAUUGCUUCGGUUAAUACCUGGAGUAGAUGACGGUACCCGCAUAAGAAGCACCGGCUAACUACGUGCCAGCAGCCGCGGUAAUACGUAGGGUGCGAGCGUUAAUCGGAAUUACUGGGCGUAAAGCGUGCGCAGGCGGUUGUAUAAGUCAGAUGUGAAAUCCCCGGGCUCAACCUGGGAACUGCAUUUGAGACUGUACGGCUAGAGUUUGGCAGAGGGGGGUGGAAUUCCACGUGUAGCAGUGAAAUGCGUAGAGAUGUGGAGGAACACCGAUGGCGAAGGCAGCCCCCUGGGCCAAUACUGACGCUCAUGCACGAAAGCGUGGGGAGCAACAGGAUUAGAUACCCUGGUAGUCCACGCCCUAAACGAUGUCAACUAGGUGUUGGAAGGGUUAAACCUUUUAGUGCCGAAGCUAACGCGUGAAGUUGACCGCCUGGGGAGUACGGCCGCAAGGCUAAAACUCAAAGGAAUUGACGGGGACCCGCACAAGCGGUGGAUGAUGUGGAUUAAUUCGAUACGACACGAAGAACCUUACCCAGGUUUGACAUGGUUGUAGUAGUGAACCGAAAGGGGAACGAGCCUUCGGGCAGCAAUCACAGGUGUUGCAUGGCUGUCGUCAGCUCGUGUCGUGAGAUGUUGGGUUAAGUCCCGCAACGAGCGCAACCCCUGUUGCCAGUUACAUGUGUCUGGCGAGACUGCCGGUAUCAAGCCGGAGGAAGGUGGGGAUGACGUCAAGUCAGCAUGACCUUUAUAUCUGGGGCUACACACACGCUACAAUGGUCGGUACAAUGCGUUGCCAAGCCGCGAGGCGGAGCUAAUCGCAUCAAAACCGGCCUCAGUUCGGAUAGGAGGCUGCAAUCCGCCUCCUUGAAGUCGGAGUUGCUAGUAAACGCCGGUCAGCUAUACGGCGUUGAAUACGUUCCCGGGCCUUGUACACACCGCCCGUCACGUCAUGGGAGCUGGUAACACCUGAAGUCGGUGUGCUAACCGCGAGGAGGCAGCUGCCGAG